AGCUCUAAUAGCAUAUAUUAAAGUUGUUGCAGUUAAAACGUUCGUAGUCCUCUUCUAUCUGAGCGAUGCGCUGAGCGUCUAGGAUGCAGCAGUCGUUUCCGCCAGAUACUGUGCAGGACAUGUACCGCAUGAUGCAUGUAGGGGCAGUUCUGCAUCGUACCUUGAGUGAAUCGGUGUGUUUCAAGCAGGCAGAUGCUUUGAACGACUUACCAGGGUAUAGCAAGCGUGUGAACGCACCCUUCCUUUCGUUCAAGGGUGUAUUCUAAAACGGCAAGAACGGUUGAGGGCAUUCGUAUUCAACUGCCAGAGGUGAAAUUCUUUGAUUAGUUGAGGACGAUCGACUGCGAAAGCAUUUGCCAAGGACCUGUCUG
This 371-nucleotide ribosomal RNA is filed under the name uncultured eukaryote. RNAcentral's name for it is "SSU rRNA". It matches the Rfam family "Eukaryotic small subunit ribosomal RNA", at positions 587 to 972 of the family's 1831-position model. The record is from RNAcentral.